CUGCGGUGAUGAGCGGUGGACGGUGACUGACCGGUAUUGUCCUCCUCCGGGACGCUCUGACCGGGACGUGAUGCCCCGUUAAUCUUCUCUCUGAGCGG
Small nucleolar RNA from Salarias fasciatus (jewelled blenny), 98 nucleotides. NCBI's taxonomy places the organism in Eukaryota, Metazoa, Chordata, Actinopteri, Blenniiformes, Blenniidae. The record is from Ensembl.